GAUCCUGGCUCAGAAUCAACGCGGGCGGCGCGCCUAACCCAUGCAAGUCGCACGAGAAAGCCCGGGGCAACCUGGUGAGUAAAGUGGCGUACGGGUGAGUAACACGUGGGUUACCUGCCCUCUGGUGGGGAAUAACCCUGGGAAACCGGGGCUAAUACCGCAUAAACCCGAAAGGGGAAAGCCGAAAGGCGCCGGAGGAGGGGCCCGCGGCCGAUUAGCUAGUUGGUAGGGUAAUGGCCUACCAAGGCUGUGAUCGGUAGCCGGCCUGAGAGGGCACACGGCCACACUGGCACUGAAACACGGGCCAGACUCCUACGGGAGGCAGCAGUGGGGAAUCUUGCACAAUGGGGGAAACCCUGAUGCAGCGACGCCGCGUGAGCGAUGAAGCCCUUCGGGGUGUAAAGCUCUUUCGGCAGGAACGAUAAUGACGGUACCUGCAGAAGAAGCUGCGGCUAACUACGUGCCAGCAGCCGCGGUAAUACGUAGGCAGCAAGCGUUGUUCGGAGUUACUGGGCGUAAAGAGUGUGUAGGCGGUUUGCCAAGUUCGGUGUGAAAUCUCCCGGCUUAACUGGGAGGAUGCGCCGAAAACUGGCAGGCUCGAGUGCGGGAGAGGAGAGCGGAAUUCCUGGUGUAGCGGUGAAAUGCGUAGAGAUCAGGAGGAACACCUGCGGUGUAGACGGCUCUCUGGACCGCAACUGACGCUGAGACACGAAAGCGUGGGUAGCAAACAG
This 731-nucleotide ribosomal RNA is filed under the name uncultured Acidobacteriota bacterium. RNAcentral's name for it is "bacterial SSU rRNA". It matches the Rfam family "Bacterial small subunit ribosomal RNA", at positions 15 to 775 of the family's 1533-position model. Lineage: Bacteria; Pseudomonadati; Acidobacteriota. The record is from RNAcentral.